GGGGUUGUGGCUCAGCGGUAGAGUGCUCGCAUAGCAUGUGUGAGACCCUGGGUUCGAUCCGCAGCACCACA
Molecule: transfer RNA, 71 nt
Filed under: Marmota monax (woodchuck)
Lineage: Eukaryota; Metazoa; Chordata; Mammalia; Rodentia; Sciuridae
Description: tRNA.Ala
Source: RNAcentral